CACUCCCCACAGGCUACUCCAUUCUGGCCCUAUUUAUCCUCAUCUCCCCAAAGCUCCUGCACCCCGCCUUUCUCCUCCCAACCUCCCCCUCGUUCUAGCCCCAGCUUCCCUCUGCCUCCACUUCACCCUAUUAAGAAACAACCGCCCCACAGAAGCCUCUGCCCCUGGCGGCAGCUCCCUGAGCCCCGCCCGCCCUCCCUCCUCCUGCAACUGCUCCUCUCCCUGACAGAUGCCUCAGAGCCCCGGGCCGCAGUUAAGGUGACGAGAUGCAGCAAUUCUUUAUGAACAUUUCAUUCCUGCUCGCUACACGACGUAAAUUAGAUGGUGUGUUACAUUCGGGCAAUAAGAGAGAUAUGUCACCACGACGCUGGCCCAUUGGAUGGAGAGGGGGUUUGGCGAAGAGCGGAAAGGAUUUCACCCUGAUGUGCACACUACUGAGUGACCCCGCUCACCAGCGGCUCUGCUGAUUGCUUUGCACCUUGCAGACUUCGAUACUGGCUCAGCCUCUUGCCGGCCUCGCUCCCUCUGGGUCUCCAGCCCACCCUUCCCCUGCCUGGCUUUCUCUUGAAGCCAAAGCCAAGAGACCUAACAGAGGAGUCACAAAGGUCACGAAGGGAUGGAUGUCUCUGUGGGGAAGAGCAGGGCGGCAGAGCUA
RNAcentral lists this long non-coding RNA (655 nucleotides) under Mus spretus (western wild mouse). RNAcentral's name for it is "lncRNA (ENSMSPG00010007782.1)". Lineage: Eukaryota; Metazoa; Chordata; Mammalia; Rodentia; Muridae. The record is from RNAcentral.